Molecule: ribosomal RNA, 383 nt
Filed under: uncultured eukaryote
Lineage: Eukaryota
Description: partial 18S ribosomal RNA
Rfam family: Eukaryotic small subunit ribosomal RNA
Source: RNAcentral
CAAUAGCGUAUAUUAAAGUUGUUGCAGUUAAAAAGCUCGUAGUUGGAUUUCUGGUGGGAGCGAUCGGUCUGGCGCUUAGCGCGAGUACUUGCAUCGUCUCCGGCCAUCCUUGGGGAGAGUCUGUCUGGCAUUAGGUUGUCGGGCAGAGGAUCCUCAUCGUUUACUGUGAAAAAAUUAGAGUGUUCAAAGCAGGCUUAUGCCGUUGAAUAUAUUAGCAUGGGAUAACAAGAUAGGACUUUGGUACUAUUUUGUUGGUUUGCGCACCAAAGUAAUGAUUAAUAGGGACAGUUGGGGGUAUUCGUAUUCCGUUGUCAGAGGUGAAAUUCUUGGAUUUACGGAAGACGAACUACUGCGAAAGCAUUUACCAAGGAUGUUUUCAUUAA